RNAcentral lists this unclassified non-coding RNA (359 nucleotides) under Heterodea muelleri. RNAcentral's name for it is "partial 28S-18S ribosomal RNA intergenic spacer". The record is from RNAcentral. Lineage: Eukaryota; Fungi; Ascomycota; Lecanoromycetes; Lecanorales; Cladoniaceae.
ACCGAAGCCCGUAGCCGUCCCCCAAGGGGGACGUGAUGGGUGGCUGGUAUCCUCCUAUUGAGGGGUGUAUGGCGCAGUGUGGGCCGGCCUUCGGGUCGCGAAUUCCCACGUCUGCGGCGGACCAUCCCUUGAGCAAAUCGGUGGGGGCAUUUGGAUGGCUCGCGGAUACCUUUCGGCGGCUUCGGCCCCGCUGGGUCGCCCGGGCCGGGCGCAGGGUUUCGGCCCCAGCCCCGACCUUUUAACUAAACUCUGAUCCCCUCUUCGCUGAGGGAUCCGGCGGUCGUUUUGCCUUCGGGUGAUCGGCUUCCCGGUUAAGAUAGUUACCUGGUUGAUUCUGCCAGUAGUCAUAUGCUUGUCUC